GCCAGACUCCUACGGGAGGCAGCAGUGGGGGAUAUUGCACAAUGGGGGGAACCCUGAUGCAGCGACGCCGCGUGGGUGAAGAAGUAUUUCGGUAUGUAAAGCCCUGUCGGCAGGGAAGAAAUUGGACGGUACCUGACUAAGAAGCCCCGGCUAACUACGUGCCAGCAGCCGCGGUAAUAUGUAGGGGGCAAGCGUUAUCCGGAUUCACUGGGUGUAAAGGGAGCGUAGACGGCCAUGCAAGCCUGGAGUGAAAGCCCGGGGCCCAACCCCGGGACUGCUCUGGGAACUGUGCGGCUGGAGUGCGGGAGGGGCAGGCGGAAUUCCUGGUGUAGCGGUGAAAUGCGUAGAUAUCAGGAGGAACACCGGCGGCGAAGGCGGCCUGCUGGACCGCGACUGACGUUGAGGCUCGAAAGCGUGGGGAGCAAACAGGAUUAGAUACCCUGGUAUC
RNAcentral lists this ribosomal RNA (448 nucleotides) under uncultured bacterium. Its description in RNAcentral is "bacterial SSU rRNA". It matches the Rfam family "Bacterial small subunit ribosomal RNA", at positions 330 to 794 of the family's 1533-position model. The record is from RNAcentral.